GCGAGGCAAUUACUGAGAUAUUGAGAGUUGAGUUGAGAAGAGUUUUCUCCUCCUCCAUUGAUGUAGAUUGUAGUUUUCUCUCUAUCUAGUAAAAUCAGUAUCUCUGUGGAUGUAGGCAAUUUGCCAAACCACCUUAAAUGUUGUGUUCUUGAUUCUGGGCAUCAAGCUCGGGUCUUGACACAAGGCAUUCGGUUAUGGUCAGAUAUAGAUGAAACU
RNAcentral lists this long non-coding RNA (216 nucleotides) under Populus trichocarpa (black cottonwood). RNAcentral describes it as "long non-coding RNA (PTRI_LNC000190)". Lineage: Eukaryota; Viridiplantae; Streptophyta; Magnoliopsida; Malpighiales; Salicaceae. The record is from RNAcentral.